This 884-nucleotide ribosomal RNA is filed under the name Listeria booriae. Its description in RNAcentral is "bacterial SSU rRNA". It matches the Rfam family "Bacterial small subunit ribosomal RNA", at positions 623 to 1528 of the family's 1533-position model. The record is from RNAcentral. Lineage: Bacteria; Bacillati; Bacillota; Bacilli; Caryophanales; Listeriaceae.
AAACUGGAAACUGAAGACUUGAAUGCAGGAGAGGUAAGUGGAAUUCCACGUGUAGCGGUGAAAUGCGUAGAUAUGUGGAGGAACACCAGUGGCGAAGGCGGCUUACUGGCCUGUAAUUGACGCUGAGGCUCGAAAGCGUGGGGAGCAAACAGGAUUAGAUACCCUGGUAGUCCACGCCGUAAACGAUGAGUGCUAAGUGUUAGGGGGUUUCCGCCCCUUAGUGCUGCAGCUAACGCAUUAAGCACUCCGCCUGGGGAGUACGACCGCAAGGUUGAAACUCAAAGGAAUGACGGGGCCCGCACAAGUGUGGAGCAUGUGGUUUAAUUCGAAGCAACGCGAAGAACCUUACCAGGUCUUGACAUCCUUUGACCACUCUGGAGACAGAGCUUUCCCUUCGGGACAAGUGACAGGUGGUGCAUGGUUGUCGUCAGCUCGUGCGUGAGAUGUUGGGUUAAGUCCCGCAACGAGCGCACCCUUGAUUUAGUUGCCAGCAUUAGUUGGCACUCUAAAGUGACUGCCGGUGCAAGCCGGAGAAGUGGGAUGACGUCAAUCAUCAUGCCCUUAUGACCUGGGCUACACACGUGCUACAAUGGAUAAUACAAAGGGUUGCCAAACCGCGAGGUCGAGCUAAUCCCAUAAAAUAUUCUCAGUUCGGAUUGUAGGCUGCAACUCGCCUACAUGAAGCCGGAAUCACUAGUAAUCGUGGAUCAGCAUGCCACGGUGAAUACGUUCCGGGCCUUGUACACACCGCCCGUCACACCACGAGAGUUGUAACACCCGAAGUCGGUAGGGUAACCUUUAUGGAGCCAGCCGCCGAAGGUGGGACAGAUAAUUGGGUGAAGUCGUAACAAGUAGCCGUAUCGGAAGGUGCGGCUGGAUCACCU